AGUGAACGCUGGCGGUAGGCCUAACACAUGCAAGUCGAACGGCAGCACAGUAAGAGCUUGCUCUUACGGGUGGCGAGUGGCGGACGGGUGAGGAAUACAUCGGAAUCUACUUUUUCGUGGGGGAUAACGUAGGGAAACUUACGCUAAUACCGCAUACGACCUACGGGUGAAAGCAGGGGAUCUUCGGACCUUGCGCGAUUGAAUGAGCCGAUGUCGGAUUAGCUAGUUGGCGGGGUAAAGGCCCACCAAGGCGACGAUCCGUAGCGGGUCUGAGAGGAUGAUCAGCCACACUGGAACUGAGAGACGGUCCAGACUCCUACGGGAGGCAGCAGUGGGGAAUAUUGGACAAUGGGCGCGAGCCUGAUCCAGCCAAACCGCGUGGGUGAAGAAGGCCUUCGGGUUGUAAAGCCCUUUUGUUGGGAAAGAAAAGCAGCAGGUUAAUACCCCGCUGUUCUGACGGUACCCAAAGAAUAAGCACCGGCUAACUUCGUG
This 492-nucleotide ribosomal RNA is filed under the name uncultured bacterium. RNAcentral's name for it is "partial 16S ribosomal RNA". It matches the Rfam family "Bacterial small subunit ribosomal RNA", at positions 29 to 507 of the family's 1533-position model. The record is from RNAcentral.